RNAcentral lists this ribosomal RNA (808 nucleotides) under Xanthoparmelia cumberlandia. RNAcentral's name for it is "partial large subunit ribosomal RNA". It matches the Rfam family "Eukaryotic large subunit ribosomal RNA", at positions 95 to 918 of the family's 3401-position model. Lineage: Eukaryota; Fungi; Ascomycota; Lecanoromycetes; Lecanorales; Parmeliaceae. The record is from RNAcentral.
GAAGCGGCAACAGCUCAAAUUUGAAAUCUGGCUCCUUCGGGGUCCGAAUUGUAAUUUGUAGAGAGUGCUUCGGGCGAGACCUCGGUCUAAGUCCAUUGGAACAUGGUGUCAUAGAGGGUGAGAAUCCCGUAUGCGACCGUGGCUCGAGCCCAUGUGAAGCCUCUUCGACGAGUCGAGUUGUUUGGGAAUGCAGCUCAAAAUGGGUGGUAAAUUUCAUCUAAAGCUAAAUACUGGCUGGAGACCGAUAGCGCACAAGUAGAGUGAUCGAAAGAUGAAAAGCACUUUGGAAAGAGAGUCAAACAGUACGUGAAAUUGUUGAAAGGGAAGCGCUUGCAACCAGACCUGCCCGUAGGCGAUCAGCCGCUGUUCUCAGCGGUGUACUCGCUCUGCGAUCAGGCCAGCAUCGGUUUCGGCGGUCGGAUAAAGACCUUGGGAAUGUAGCUUCCCUUCGGGGAAGUCUUAUAGCCCUCGGUGCAAUGCGGCCAGCCGGGACCGAGGACCGCGCUUCGGCUAGGAUGCUGGCGUAAUGGUUGUAAGCGACCCGUCUUGAAACACGGACCAAGGAGUCUAACAUCUAUGCGAGUGUUUGGGUGUCAAACCCAUACGCGGAAUGAAAGUGAACGGAGGUGAGAACCCUCAAGGGCGCAUCAUCGACCGAUCCAGAUGUCUUCGGAUGGAUUUGAGUAUGAGCAUAGCUGUUGGGACCCGAAAGAUGGUGAACUAUGCCUGAAUAGGGUGAAGCCAGAGGAAACUCUGGUGGAGGCUCGCAGCGGUUCUGACGUGCAAAUCGAUCGUCAAAUUUGGGUAU